Molecule: ribosomal RNA, 252 nt
Filed under: uncultured Isochrysis
Lineage: Eukaryota; Haptophyta; Isochrysidales
Description: partial Bacterial small subunit ribosomal RNA
Rfam family: Bacterial small subunit ribosomal RNA
Source: RNAcentral
CGGUGGAGCAUGUGGUUUAAUUCGAUGCAACGCGAAGAACCUUACCAGGACUUGACAUGUCGCGAAUCCUCUGGAAACAGAGGAGUGCCUUCGGGAGCGCGAACACAGGUGGUGCAUGGCUGUCGUCAGAUCGUGUCGUGAGAUGUUGGGUUAAGUCCCGCAACGAGCGCAACCCUCGUGUUUAGUUGCCAUCAUUAAGUUGGGCACUCUAAACAGACUGCCGGUGACAAACCGGAGGAAGGUGGGGAUGAC